CUUCCGCAAUGGACGAAAGUCUGACGGAGCGACGCCGCGUGAGCGAAGAAGGUCUUCGGAUCGUAAAGCUCUGUUGUUAGGGAAGAAGAAGUACCGUUCGAAUAGGGCGGUACGGUGACGGUACCUAACGAGAAAGCCCCGGCUAACUACGUGCCA
RNAcentral lists this ribosomal RNA (156 nucleotides) under uncultured Bacillota bacterium. Its description in RNAcentral is "uncultured Firmicutes bacterium partial 16S ribosomal RNA". It matches the Rfam family "Bacterial small subunit ribosomal RNA", at positions 363 to 510 of the family's 1533-position model. Lineage: Bacteria; Bacillati; Bacillota. The record is from RNAcentral.